GAAGCUGGCUGCGCUCCAGCAGUCAGCGGUGUAUACUGGCGCUGGGGUCAACGCCCGAGAUGCCGCCUGGACUCCAGGGGAGGGCCAGCCAGGACACUUGGGAGUGGGAAACUCUUGCUUGCGCCCCUGGGUCCUCCAGUGCCUUGAAGCACAGCACCUUCCCCUGGACGAGGACCCAGGGGGUAGCAGAUCUCCGCCCUGCCUCAGGGCACAGGCGGAGGAGGGGGUGGUGGACCCCUUGUCAGCUCCAACCAACCAACCGUCCAGGGUUGGAGGUGAGGGCGGGGCUCGCAGGGCGCCGCUCCCACCUCCCUGCGCCCAGGAGGCCACUUGGCUGAGAUGCACCCGGAGCCUCCCAGGCGCCUGCUUCAGGCACCAGGUGUCACGCGCGAGCCCAGAGACUGUUGGCCUGGGAAGGGAGGGGAAGACCUUGCUCGCAUGCUGCCCUGGAGUCCCCAACUCCAUCCAUUCCUUACUGCCAGGGAAUAGGGGGUUCAUCACUCCUGGGUGGGCCAGAGCUGGGGUGCACUCGCCUGCCCGGCAGCGACCGGGGCGGGGCUGCUCACAGCUUGGAAACCCUGGCCAGGCAGUCCAGGGAACCGGCACCCAACCUAGGGUCUUCGCAGCCGAACUUGGAAAGAGUGGGGGAGGUGCGGAGGAAUAGCUUUGUUAGAGCUGAAACGUGAUGCAUCAUAACUUGGGUUUUCUUUCAUAAUAAGGAUGAUUGCUUAUUUGUAUUUUCCAAUCUAACGCAUGGAGAGGCCUGGCCUUGACCGCACAAGUUCAGGAUGUGCCCAGCCUGAGAUCCCUUCCCCGCCCCCGCUGCCCCCGGCCUGGUUCACCCACCUCCCAUCUAUCAUUUAUCUUUGUUACAAAAGGGGAACAAAAAAAAAAGAUGAGAAGGCUGCAUCCUUUCAAUUUUUAAGUGACCACAGUGGGCCUGGCUGGAGCCACAGGCAGAAGUAUUUUUAGCCAAGAUCUUUUAUCUUCAGAGGCAAAUGACCUGGGGCCUAUGGAGGGUGAAGCCGCUGGGCAGUGGCUGUGCUGGCAAACACCGGCUGAGUCCAGACCUCCUUCCUCUUUGAGCUCGUCUGGGAGGCCCUGGGUCUGGGAGGCCCUGGGUCUGGGAGAAUCCCCUGGGUUUCCCCUAAGUUAGCUUAUGGUCCAUUUGGGCUAGGAAAAAAGGCAUCGUUGCUUACAGUAGUGGAGGUGACGCCUUAAGGGUCUAGAGAGUAGAGCUUAGUGGCUCAGAAGAGCCCAGGGCUCCUGGCUCAGUCUUCCACCAGCUGUGUGUCUUUGGGAAAGCUACUUUACCUCUCUGUGCCUCAUUUCGUUCACCUGUACAAUGACAGUUUCAGCAGUAGUUCUAGCCUCAGAGAGUUUUGGUGAGAAUUAAAUAAAGCAAUGAACACUUAGAACAGGGUCUGUCACGUGGCAAGUGCCUGAAUUAUGUUAGUUUUUCUUCUUCUCCUCCUCCUUCUUUCUUCAUUUUUUUUCAAAUAGAUUGCUUUAAUUUUUGAGUCUUAUAAAACAGGUGGGAUAGGAAAGGCAGGUAGCUUGCCUUGCACACAUGCACUUCCUUUUAAGUAAACAACAGGAGCCUCAAGCCCUCUACGCUGAAGCUGGCCUCACCUCUCCCAAGUUCCAAGGAGGAUCAGGGACAGGCUGCCCACUGGCUGGGACGUAGAUUGGUGACAUUUGACUUGCUGUCCCGACAAGUGCUAUGCUCUGAAAUUAAGUUUUUGCAGCAAUUGUGCGUUUCCUCUGACCGGAAGAAGAGCCUAGCAGGCCUUCAACUCCUCAGCCUCCCAGACUGAAAACAUGGCCUUAGUAAUAUUUUUUUUUCUAUUGGAAAACACUCCUUUAAUACACAGACUAUUUUGAAAAUACAGGAAUUAAAGAAUAUUAGAAGUGGCUUUAUCAUUUAUCCUAUGAUUCACCCAUUAUAAUGACUGUGUUUAAAUAUAAACUUUUGUGAUUUUUUUUUGUAGCGGUAUAAACACAACUGUGGUCACUCAAUGUCCAUUUAUGAAACCCCCCUCUGAAUGUAGGAAUAACCACUCCGAUCAAGUGUUUUAAAUUUUACUUUUUAUUUUGUUGUGGUAAGAACACAACAUGAGAUCUACCCUCUUUGUAGAUUUUAUAUCAUUUAGGAUUGCUGACUGUGAGCACAAUGUCGUGCAGUAGAUCCCCAAAACUUAUUUAUCUUUACUGUUAGGAACCCCACGUAUAGGAGGUCUCUACAGUAGUCCGACUCAUCAAAGCGGAGAGCAGAGGGUGGUGGCCAGGGCCUGGGCGGAGGGGGAGUCGGGAUUUGCUCCACAACAGGUAUGAAGUUUCAGCAACAUCUUAGUAAACCGUGCUCCUCUCAGAACACAGUCUGUGGCAUCGCCCCGUGGCCCCAGAGCUUUCCGCUUGGAAACCAAGCUGGAACUUGGGUCUGAGCAGGUUUCUCCUCCUGGAUGACCCAUUCCGCCCUAUUUUCUCUUCAUGGUAAUUGAUGCUAUUUUUUUUAUCUCCUUUUGCAAGGUCUGAGCACAGGUCUUCUAGACAUCCGCAUGUCUCUGAUGACUUAAAAAAAAUAGAUUUAGUCCUUUUAGCUCAAGCCAUACCAAGCCAUAAUAUUUUAUCAGAGUCCUUUCAGAUAUAUAUUUUUUUUAUAUUCAGAAAAUUGGGUCCGCUCUGUAUAUAUAUGCCUGACAUUUCACCUUUCCAAAAAGUAGACCAUUUUGUUUGCAUCCUUUAAGCCGAUGUAUGGAAUAAUGAACAUGUUCCAAGAGGGAAAUCGUAUCUGACACAGAAAAUACUUUGGGGACCUGGCAGUUUCCCAGUGGCGUGUAAGGAGACUAUUGAAAUCUGAGCACAUUUUCUCUGAAGGACACAGGGCAGCUCGUCCUGCCUUUGCCACCCAGCAUGGGAGUUCCCCCGCAAGCACAGGACACAGAUUAAUACUGGCUGACACUUCUACAAUCAUCCCUUAAUCUGUCACCUCCACAUUCGCCCACAUAGUUGUACCAAAGACCUCAAACACAGAGACGAUGUUUUUAAAGAAGCCAUGAGGCUCUUCCCAAUGUCUACCUCCAUUAUUUAAAAUAUUGCCUCAAGGCACAAGUAUAAAUAUUAAAACUUUAAUUAAAGAAUCAAUCAGCGAUAGAACUUCAGAAUGAGGGGACCCAGUGCUUUCAGAUGAUGUCAACAGUGAAUACAGCUGGGAUGGGUUGCAAGGCUGGGGGUUGUUAGGAAAAAUGACAGGUGGAGUUGUAAGCAGAGACAACUGUCCUUACGCUUUGUAGUCACUCCGAGCACCACUGUUCACUGCACUGGCUUGUCCGCGGUCACUAGACACAGACGUGGGUGACUGCGGCCGGCUCCUCCAGAAGGGGCUGUCAUCUUAGGGGAAGGGGUGGCUAGCUCAAUAAACAUUUAUUCUGAACACACGGCACGUUAGACGCGUGCUAGAUGAACAAGGCAGAGGAGAACUUUGCCUUCUCAGAGUCCCUAUUGUCACAGAGGAACCCAGGCACAGGCAAGAUAUGGAAAUAUAUUUCUAGAAGGAUAAUGGCAAAGGUUACAAAAAUGACAACAUGGCGAUAUGAUAGCGACUUGGCGGGUGGGGGGGCGGUUUCAAGGAGGAGAGAUGUGAUCCGAGACCCACGUGAAAAGAAGUAGCUGACAUGCACGUAUCACCCACGCGGACACCUGUCCUGAUGGAGCCGCCUCCUAGGGCCGUCUUCUGCAUGAAGCGCGGUUCAGAGACAGGGGAAACACGUGCAAAGGCCUGGAGGUGGUUGCAGUGAUAGAAUUAUACAGAUGAAGUCCUGUAGCCCCUUGAGGCCCAAGUAGGAGUUGGAUUUUAUUCUAAGGGGCAGCCAUUGGAAGGUUUUAUACAGAGAAAUGCCAUGCUAUGUUUAUGGCUUCAUCAUUAUGGGAAAAUUGUUAGGUGUUUUCGAGACGAAUAGAUCAACAAGCACCCCUUCCUGGCCAGCCAGCUCUUUCCUCAAAGUUCCAAGUCAUCUGCGCAACCAGAUUUGGUCUGAGGACUUAGUGGCAUCUGCAGAGGUAAGCCUCAUAACAUCUAAAAGAUCAAACUUUAUAUCUCACCCCCCUCCUUUGUGGGCUUAGACCAAAAUUUUCCGUUCAGGAAGAGAGAUUAGUUUAUAGGGAAAACGAGGCUUGUUUCUCAGUAAAGCUCGUGGCGUGUGGGAGGAAGACCCCGGGAGGAGGCAUCUGGAUGCAUUAGCCUACUUAGCUGUGCGUUCUCUGGGGCUUCCCUUCAAAGAGGCAGCACCCCCUCCCACAUCCUUUCCAUGUCUUGCCUGCCACCUCUCCUGGGAGUCCCUGAGAGCAGCUGUGCAUAGAUCCUCCUCGUUGAUCGUCAGCCCAGGUAGGCUCCCUUUCGAAGUGUGGCCACGGUAGGUGGCCUUGGUAGGUGUGGGCCAGGCGUGGGCAGAUACUGACAUGAGAGAGAGGUGGCUUGCCUAGGGAGGUCUCUGAGUCUGUCUUCAGAAGCUCCCCUGGCCUUGGAAGGUGGAGAUACAGUUUGAUGGGCAGUUUGGACAUCUGGACAAUCCGACUUUCCUCCCACGUCGUCCCUGGAGUCUGUCUCUUUAUCUGCAAUCCUGGAACUCCGUUACUGCCCUUUCUAUAUGCCAGGAUGAUGCUAAUGAGUUCACAUGGCUUGGACACUUCCUACACAGCACAAGCUGUGCCCGGCACUCUACCUACGUGGCUGUGGACUGUGCUGAGUUGUUCUGGCACCUGCCCAUCUCCCCCACCUCCCACCCGUUCACUUUGCUCAUGCCCCACUCAUCCUCCAGGUUGCAGCUCCAGAGUCCCAGGCUCAGGGAAACCCUCCCUGCUUCCCUGUGUGGAUUUUCCUUCUCUACCGUCAUCCCAAGAACAAUUUACCAUUACUGCAGUGACUGUCGGUUUGAUCCUUUUUCUCUCACUCCACUGGACGGUGAACUCCAGGCGGAUCAUGCACACACCUGCUCGGAUGUCACUGGAUGGCUAGCAUGUAGCGCAGUGCGCGGCACAGAGCACGGGCUCCAAGUGGAAAUAGCAAGUGAUCCCGUCUGCUGUUUCCGGCAGGCCUUCAGGUUCUUUCUUUCAUCAAAUACCCAUUUUGCAGAUAGAUAGUGAAGUGCAUGUGGCAUUAAGCCGUUUAUCCAAGGAUAUCAUGGCAGGUCUGGGACACACCCAGGAGGUUGACCCUGGCAGUCUGAGCACACAGCCCACGGUGCUAAUCACUGCACACCCGGGCUCUUUUGUUGCCUUCGCGGGAGGUGGGAGGCCACGUGUGCAGUGGUGAGGGGGGGUCUUGCUGCUGAACUUGAGUUGCUGUGACAUGUGGUGCUGAGCCCAUGAGAGCCACACAAGGAAAACAAGGCCCUUGUUUCUUUUACUUCAUCAUCACUUUAUCAUUACUGCAAUCUGGCCCUUGUUUUGCUGUUUCUCUGCCUGGAGCCCUGAGGUCCUGGGCUGCCCAGAGCAUCUCUGGCCCCCGUCUCUAGGCUCAUGCUCUGAGUAUAAUUUUGAAGGGGGUACUCGGGCCUCCUGUCUGGCUGCAGGCAGUCCUUGGGCAUGGUGCACUCAAGGCUGGGGCUGCUCUGGGAACUGCUCAGCGUACGGCGUGCAAGCUCGCCGUCUGGUCACUGUCACCUGAGUCCGCUUCCCUCUCCACGUCUUCUGAGAACAAAAUCAGACCUUUGCCGGCAUCAUAGAGGCCCUUGUGCAGUCACAUUGCUCAUUGCUAGUUCUGUCUUUCCUCGAGAUGCCGAUGUCUCUUUUCUGUGCAUUUUAGAAUACGGAUUAUCAGAGAUGAGGGUGUGGACUUAAGGUUUUCAAAAUCGUCUUCUCAGUGUCAUCAGCAGGGCCCUCAUAGCCACCACGUUUUGGGAUCUCCAACUGUGCUCUCUUAACUCUUCGUUGCAAACCCUUUAUUAUGCCCAUUUUACAGAUGGGAGAACAGAGGCCCGGUGAUUAAGUGGCAAAGGCAGAGUGCAGGCUCGACUAGUUGCUUCCAGAGUCCUUUUGCUUCCCUCCCCUGCCCUGUGCUGAGAGGAUCUGUUGGCUACAAGAGGAAGUAGCAGAGUGGCUGUGAGAAGGCAGGAGGCAGUGUAGUGCGGUGGUUGAAAUUCCAGAAUGAGACUGUCUGGCUUGAGACCCCAGGUCCCUCAGAUUCUGGCUCCAUAACCUUUGGCUUUCCUCAACCUCUCUGCACCUCAGUCUGCCCCAUCAAUGGGGAUAAUAUUCCUAUGUUCUAGGGUCGGCCGGAUGAUUAAUCAGCCUUGCAAAUCAUUUUAGCAAAGCGCCUGGUAUAUAGUGUGUGUUCCGUGUGUGCGGGAGUCGUGGUGCUCGCGCUGAUGAUCAUCAUUAAUAUUAUCAUUUUAUAAUAAUGACAUCAUUAUUAUCGUUGUUUGUGGCUGGAAUCUCACAAUCCCUCUAGGCAGCAGAAUUGGCUCCAGAACGUGAUUCCUACGUUUUCCUCUUGACUCCAAGCGAGGUGAUAAAUUGAGAGUGAACGCGGAGAGCCUAGCCUCGCUGCGAAUGUGCGGGCAGAGAGCUGACAAACCCGAGUGCCCGUGUGCAGUUCCGCCUGCAGAGGGCUGCUGACAGCAGCCAUAUGCAUGGGCCCUGAUUGAUUGGCAGAGAGAAACACUAAUUUAUUAGACUCGUUAUGAAAAGUGACGGAGCAGGGUACUGAGAGGGCUGAGUCAGCACCGGGAGCCCUGGCCAGAUCCCCAGGGCUGCGAGCUGGGGGUUCGCUCCCCUCGGGACCAGCCCCCUGUCUGGAUUCUGGGCUCACUGCCUGUGUCCCGGAGUGGGCCUCCCGCUCACGUGCGUGGCCUGGCUCACUGUCGCGGCGCCGUGAAGAACGCGUCUUCCCCUUCAGCAUGCUUGGAAAGCGGGGUCCAGCUCAGGCUGCUGCUGACUGCAGAGGCCGAUGGGAUGGAGGAGAGUGCGCGUGCAGGAACUCCAAAAGGGAUGGACGACUAGGGAAAUUUCAGGAGUUGCCUGGGGAAGAAUAGAGAGCAUGGGUUUACCUCUCUUUAAAAACAUGAGGUCUUCAUGGGAGGGUUUCUUGUUUCUGAUUUUGGGAGGUCGGUCAGUCUGAACGGCAGCAGGUAGGAUGCUGGUUAAAUGAGAAGAGCUUGCGUUUAAGGUGAUGCACACUAGCCUAAGCUACUGGAGUUAUUUUGGACUCAGGAAAGCUUUGAGAAGACCAAACUCCCCGAGAGCCAAGGUGCGGGAGGACAAAGGCUGGAACCCGACACACCUCCCUUGCGGGUCCAGAUUCUUCGAUUUUCCAGCUGUGUGACCUUGGGCAAGUUUCUGCCCCUCUCUGAGCCUCCAUUUCCUCAUCUCUCCCAAGGCAGAUGAUUCUGCCUCCCUGUCCAAGGACUGGUGCUCCAGAGUGAGUUGGAUCAAGCAGCAAUCACAGGGACUUCUCAGAGCAGUCACUCCUUGCCUGUUUAUUUAUCUUGCGAUGUUCAGAAAAGGGCUGCUGGUUCCAAGAGUCUUUGAUACAAAAGGUUUAGUAGUUAGCGUGCCUGUGGGUCUUAGAAAGAUAUUUUUGUUUCCUAGUGAAUUUUGUUCAUUUCACACAUGACACUUGUAUAGGUUUUGAUUGUGUGAAUUUAAAAUAACCUUUGAAAAUACUUAAUGAGAUUGAAGAACCAUCCACCUCCCCCCGUAAACUUAGUUCUAUUGAAUUGUGGUUUGGUGCUCUCUGCUUAUCAUGAGAAAUACUGUACGAGAGCCAUUUGACCCCAGAUUUUAAAAAAAUAGAUUUUGUUUUUAUUUAUGUGCACAGAGAAAAAGAAUAGACCAUUUAGAUGAAAGUUUAAGAGUUGUUACAGUGGGGCCUAACACUUGAAGUAAAAAGAAAUGUGAUGUUAUUGGAAACAAAUAUGGGGGCCUAAAAAAGCACACACACACUGUGCAGAGUUUGCACUCCCAGCUCUUAUUGGCUGUGAUGAUAUUUUGGGGGCUCUGUGGGCUGUUGCUGUUAUCUCAGGUUUCAGGAUCAGAAAGGGCUUGUCCUUUUGGAGGCAGUAAUUGGUGUGUAUGUGCCAGACACUCCAAAUGAAAUAACUAUUCGUGUUUCCUUUUCACAAAGACUGCCAGGAAGCUCAGAGCUGAUUUCUCAGUCCAGGCAUGGCAGCAAGUAAGAUUUGAUAGCAUGGACUUUGCAUAUUGACCUCACUUUCGACUCUAUUUUACUUCCUUACCCUCAGUUUACUUUUCACUUCUUAUUGGGAUUUAUGUUACUGUGUUUCCUUUUAGAAAAUCUUGGCCAGGUACAAUGGCUCACACUUGUGACCCAAGCACUUUGGGAGGCCUAAGUGGGGAGGAUCUCUUGAACCCAGGAGUUUGAGACCAGCCUGGGCAACAUAGCGAGACCUUGUCUCUACAAAAAAUAAAAUUUCCCUACCUUUGUAAUAUUUAAUAUUAAAUAUGUGAGUAAUAUCAAGGUAUAAAAGAUAGGUAGAAAUUGGAAGGCACAAAUAAACUUCGGCCCUUUAAAAUACCAGAGACCAUGGAAAAUAAGACAAUAUAGAUCAGUGCUUAGUGUCUUGGGCUAUACUAGACCUGGAGUAAGAGGAAUAUGAUUUUGAGUCCCGGCAGUGUUCAUGGACACUUUUUCUUGUUUUUCCCUAUAUUUUUUUUUUCUCCUGGAGCACUACCUAUGCUAUAUAGACUCACUUUUACUGGGUCCUUCAUUGCCUUUUCCAUGCAUUCAGCAAACGCAUUCCAGCCCGCGCUUUGGGCCAGGCACUGUGUGAGUCUCCGGUGCAGUCGCACUGGGAUGUUGUCCACCAAGAGUGACGGCUUCUCUGCUUCGGGAAGCUUGUGCUAUAGGGGAGAGCCCGGCACAAAUUAUGACAGCAGAGAGAAGGACAAUAGAAUUUCCCAGUCAUAGGUAUUAAGAUGGGAACAAAAUGGGG
Molecule: non-coding RNA, 8951 nt
Organism: Microcebus murinus (gray mouse lemur)
Lineage: Eukaryota; Metazoa; Chordata; Mammalia; Primates; Cheirogaleidae
Source: RefSeq, a predicted model, not a curated record